Molecule: unclassified non-coding RNA, 45 nt
Filed under: Brucella sp. 191011898
Lineage: Bacteria; Pseudomonadati; Pseudomonadota; Alphaproteobacteria; Hyphomicrobiales; Brucellaceae
Description: BASRCI408
Source: RNAcentral
GAGCGCAUUCCGAAAAGUGUGAAACGGUUUUCGGGAAAAUGCGCG